Long non-coding RNA from Homo sapiens (human), 398 nucleotides. Lineage: Eukaryota; Metazoa; Chordata; Mammalia; Primates; Hominidae. The record is from Ensembl.
ACGGGAUAGUCCCCCGAUUCUAGGAACUGGCAGGGGGAAGCAAGCCUAAAGAAACAUCUAGUGAAGCUUCAGAGAGCCGUGCUGAGAACAGGAGUCCCUGCGAGGCCCGGGAUGAAGAUCUUCUCUCUGGAUCCGGAAGAAUCAUAAUAUUUAUCAACUCUGUAAACUCUCGGGAAAGCACUUGUGCUAGCAAGGUAACCUGGCCUUUGUGAAUUCAUGCACUAGUCUCCAUUUCUGGGAAGAGCUUCAGCACCAGCAGCACAUACCACUGUGAGGGCAAGUGAAAAAGUAUCACUUUGGGUAGAUGGAUAUAAUCCUCCCGUAAAGCUUCAUUUGCAAGAAAACCACUAUCACCCUUUUCCACCUGUGGAAUAAAGAUCCUUCUUACAUGUCCAAGA